UACGAAGGGGGGCUAGCGUUGCUCGGAUUGACUGGGCGUAAAGGGCGCGUAGGCGGUUCGUACAGUCAGACGUGAAAUUCCUGGGCUCAACCUGGGGGGCUGCGUUUGAUACGUGCGGACUUGAGUGCGGAAGAGGGUCGUGGAAUUCCCAGUGUAGAGGUGAAAUUCGUAGAUAUUGGGAAGAACACCGGUGGCGAAGGCGGCGACCUGGUCCGAUACUGACGCUGAGGCGCGAAAGCGUGGGGAGCAAACAGG
This 255-nucleotide ribosomal RNA is filed under the name uncultured bacterium. RNAcentral describes it as "partial 16S ribosomal RNA". It matches the Rfam family "Bacterial small subunit ribosomal RNA", at positions 524 to 776 of the family's 1533-position model. The record is from RNAcentral.